This 446-nucleotide ribosomal RNA is filed under the name uncultured bacterium. Its description in RNAcentral is "partial 16S ribosomal RNA". It matches the Rfam family "Bacterial small subunit ribosomal RNA", at positions 338 to 795 of the family's 1533-position model. The record is from RNAcentral.
CCUACGGGAGACUGCAGUCGAGAAUCAUUCACAAUGGGGGAAACCCUGAUGGUGCGACGCCGCGUGGGGGAAUGAAGGUCUUCGGAUUGUAAACCCCUGUCAUGUGGGAGCAAAUCAAAAAGAUAGUACCACAAGAGGAAGAGACGGCUAACUCUGUGCCAGCAGCAGCGGUAAUACAGAGGUCUAAAGCGUUGUUCGGAAUCACUGGGGGUAAAGGGGGCGUAGGCUGUUUCGUAAGUCGUGUGUGAAAGGCGCGGGCUCAACCCGCGGACGGCACAUGAUACUGGGAGACUAGAGUAAUGGAGGGGGAACCGGAAUUCUCGGUGGAGCAGUGGAAUGCGUAGAUAUCGAGAGGAACACUCGGGGCGAAGGCGGGUUCCUGGACAUUAACUGACGCUGAGGCACGAAGGCCAGGGGAGCGAAAGGGAUUAAAUACCCCAGUAGUC